GAUGAACGCUGGCGGCGUGCUUAACACAUGCAAGUCGAACGGAAAGGCCCAAGCUUGCUUGGGUACUCGAGUGGCGAACGGGUGAGUAACACGUGGGUGAUCUGCCCCGCACUUCGGGAUAAGCCUGGGAAACUGGGUCUAAUACCGGAUAGGACAGUGGUUUGGAUGCCAUUGUGUAAAGUUUUUUCGGUGUGGGAUGAGCUCGCGGCCUAUCAGCUUGUUGGUGGGGUAAUGGCCUACCAAGGCGUCGACGGGUAGCCGGCCUGAGAGGGUGUACGGCCACAUUGGGACUGAGAUACGGCCCAGACUCCUACGGGAGGCAGCAGUGGGGAAUAUUGCACAAUGGGCGCAAGCCUGAUGCAGCGACGCCGCGUGGGGGAUGACGGCCUUCGGGUUGUAAACUCCUUUCGCUAGGGACGAAGCGUUAUGUGACGGUACCUAGAGAAGAAGCACCGGCUAACUACGUG
Molecule: ribosomal RNA, 467 nt
Filed under: uncultured bacterium
Lineage: Bacteria
Description: partial 16S ribosomal RNA
Rfam family: Bacterial small subunit ribosomal RNA
Source: RNAcentral